Molecule: small nuclear RNA, 198 nt
Organism: Cornus florida
Lineage: Eukaryota; Viridiplantae; Streptophyta; Magnoliopsida; Cornales; Cornaceae
Product: U2 spliceosomal RNA
Exons: 1
Source: RefSeq, a predicted model, not a curated record
AUACCUUUCUCGACCUUUUGGCUAAGAUCAAGUGUAGUAUCUGUUCUUAUCAGUUUAAUAUCUGAUACGUGAGCCAAUGGCUCACACGGUAUUAAAUUAAUUUUUUGAGGGGGAAAGAGGCCACCACAGUAGCUAGCUAUUGGGCCUCUUGCGGGUGGCCUUAGCGUUGCACUAUAGCCUAGGCCCGGCCCACCCCAC